GAGCAGAGUUAUAGCAAGGACCCGAGUUGGGAUUGCUGUUGAUGAUGGUACGGGCUCCAUAAAUACCGUUAUCUUUGGCCUUGAUGCUGAAAAGCUUAUCCCAUUUACAGCACUUCAAUUCUGGGAAGCUCAUACUGAGGAGCUUAACUUUUCUGCUGAACUAGCAUCUGCACUUGGAAAGCAUGCAAUUGUGUGUUUCAUUCGCUA
This is a non-coding RNA of Coffea arabica (coffee), 207 nucleotides long. Lineage: Eukaryota; Viridiplantae; Streptophyta; Magnoliopsida; Gentianales; Rubiaceae. The record is from RefSeq and is a predicted model, not a curated record.